ACUCCGAAAAUUUUACUUUCACCGAGCUCGGUCCAAAACAAUGGUGUACGGCAUUUUCGACCGUACAAAGCCUCAUAAGGUGCCAUCUUGGUCCCUAAGGGCACAUGUCGUAGGUGCAGCGACCGCAACAGACAAGUCACGGGUGCCUCCUUAGAGCGUAGUUCCCACCGAGCGGUAGGUAGAAUCCUUUGCAGAUGACUUAAAUACGCGACGGAGUAUUGUAAGUGGCAGAGUGGCCUUGCUGCCACGAUCCACUGAGAUUCAGCCCUUGUCACUUCGAUUCGU
This 285-nucleotide non-coding RNA is filed under the name Gossypium arboreum. Its description in RNAcentral is "Eukaryotic large subunit ribosomal RNA". It matches the Rfam family "Eukaryotic large subunit ribosomal RNA", at positions 3185 to 3401 of the family's 3401-position model. Lineage: Eukaryota; Viridiplantae; Streptophyta; Magnoliopsida; Malvales; Malvaceae. The record is from Rfam by way of RNAcentral.